RNAcentral lists this ribosomal RNA (465 nucleotides) under uncultured bacterium. RNAcentral's name for it is "partial 16S ribosomal RNA". It matches the Rfam family "Bacterial small subunit ribosomal RNA", at positions 339 to 795 of the family's 1533-position model. The record is from RNAcentral.
CUACGGGUGGCUGCAGCGGGGAAUAUUGGACAAUGGGGGAAACCCUGAUCCAGCAAUGCCGCGUGUGUGAAGAAGGCCUGCGGGUUGUAAAGCACUUUCGGUUGGGAGGACUGCUUCUAGCACUAAUAUUGUUGGAAGUUGACGUUACCUUCAGAAGAAGCACCGGCUAACUCCGUGCCAGCAGCCGCGGUAAUACGGAGGGUGCACGCGUUAAUCGGAAUUACUGGGCGUAAAGCGCGCGUAGGCGGCUAGAUCAGUCGGGUGUGAAAGCCCCGGGCUUAACCUGGGAACUGCACCCGAUACUGUCUAGCUUGAGUACAGGAGAGGGGAGUGGAAUUCCACAUGUAGCGGUGAAAUGCGUAGAUAUGUGGAGGAACACCAAUGGCGAAGGCAGCUCUCUGGCCUGAUACUGACGCUGAGGUGCGAAAGCGUGGGGAGCAAACAGGAUUAGAUACCCUAGUAGUC